AGAACGAACGCUGGCGGCAGGCCUCAAACAUGCAAGUCUAGGGGGGUGUAGCAAUACAUCACCGGCGGACGGGUGCGUAACACGUGGGAAUAUACCUUUUGGUUCGGAACAACGCAGGGAAACUUGCGCUAAUACCGAAUGUGCCCUUACGGGGAAAGAUUUAUCGCCAAAGGAUUAGCCCGCGUAGGAUUAGCUAGUUGGUGAGGUAAUGGCUCACCAAGGCUCCGAUCCUUAGCUGUUCUGAGAGGAAGAUCAGCCACACUGGGACUGAGACACGGCCCAGACUCCUACGGGAGGCAGCAGUGGGGAAUAUUGCACAAUGGGGGAAACCCUGAUGCAGCGACGCCGCGUGCGGGAUGAAGGCCUUCGGGUUGUAACCGCUUUCAGCAGGGGCGAAUUCAGACGGUACCUGCAGAGAAGCGCCGGCUAACUACGCGCCAGCAGCCGC
Molecule: ribosomal RNA, 448 nt
Filed under: uncultured bacterium
Lineage: Bacteria
Description: SSU rRNA
Rfam family: Bacterial small subunit ribosomal RNA
Source: RNAcentral